CCAAUAGCGUAUAUUAAAGUUGUUGCAGUUAAAAAGCUCGUAGUUGAAUUUCGGGAUUGACGUGACGGUCAUGCCUUAAGGGGUAUGAACUGUUACAGUUGAUUUCUCACCUUCUGGAGAAACUUGAUGUCCUUUAUUGGGUGUCUUGCGGAUCCAGGACCUUUACCUUGAAAAAAUUAGAGUGUUUAAAGCAGGCAUUUUUGCUCGAAUACAUUAGCAUGGAAUAAUAGAAUAGGACGGCAUGGUUCUAUUUUGUUGGUUUCUAGGAUCACCGUAAUGAUUAAUAGGGAUAGUUGGGGGCAUUAGUAUUCAAUUGUCAGAGGUGAAAUUCUUGGAUUUAUUGAAGACUAACUACUGCGAAAACAUUUGCCAAGGAUGUUUUCAUUAAUCAAGAACGAAAGUUAGGGGAUCGAAGACGAUCAGAUACCGUCGUAGUCUUAACCAUAAACUAUGCCGACUAGGAAUCAGACGAUGUUAAUUUUUUAAUGACUCGUUUGGCACCUUACG
This 507-nucleotide ribosomal RNA is filed under the name uncultured Glomeromycotina. RNAcentral's name for it is "partial small subunit ribosomal RNA". It matches the Rfam family "Eukaryotic small subunit ribosomal RNA", at positions 591 to 1092 of the family's 1831-position model. Lineage: Eukaryota; Fungi; Glomeromycota. The record is from RNAcentral.